AUAGCGUAUAUUAAAGUUGUUGCAGUUAAAAAGCCCGUAGUCGAACUUCAGACCUGGCCGGGCGGUCUGCCUCACGGUACGUACUGUCCGGCUGGGCCUUACCUCUUGGUGAGCCGGCAUGCCCUUCACUGGGUGUGUUGGGGAACCAGGACUUUUACCUUGAGAAAAUUAGAGUGUUCAAAGCAGGCCUAUGCCCGAAUACAUUAGCAUGGAAUAAUAGAAUAGGACGUGCGGUUCUAUUUUGUUGGUUUCUAGAGUCGCCGUAAUGAUUAAUAGGGACAGUUGGGGGCAUUAGUAUUGAGUUGCUAGAGGUGAAAUUCUUGGAUUUACUCAAGACUAACUACUG
This 346-nucleotide ribosomal RNA is filed under the name uncultured eukaryote. RNAcentral describes it as "SSU rRNA". It matches the Rfam family "Eukaryotic small subunit ribosomal RNA", at positions 594 to 945 of the family's 1831-position model. The record is from RNAcentral.